UAAGGAAUAUUGCUCAAUGGGAGAAAUCCUGAAGCAGCAACGCCGCGUGGAGGAUGAAGGGUCUAUGACUUGUAAACUCCUGUAAAGAAGGAAAAAAUUCCCAUUAGAUGGGAGAUGAUGGUACUUCUGGAGUAAGCCCCGGCUAACUACGUGCCAGCAGCCGCGGUAAUACGUAGGGGGCAAGCGUUGUCCGGAUUUACUGGGUGUAAAGGGUGCUCAGGCGGAUUUGUAAGUCAGAGGUGAAAUCUUACAGCUUAACUGUGAAACUGCCUUUGAUACUGAAAGCCUAGAGUAUGGAAGAGAGCGAUGGAAUAUCUGGUGUGGCAGUGAAAUGCGUAGAUAUCAGAGAGAACACCAAUGGCGAAGGCAGUCACUUGGUCCAUUACUGACGCUAAAGCACGAAAGCGUGGGUAGCAAACA
Molecule: ribosomal RNA, 420 nt
Filed under: uncultured bacterium
Lineage: Bacteria
Description: bacterial SSU rRNA
Rfam family: Bacterial small subunit ribosomal RNA
Source: RNAcentral